Molecule: long non-coding RNA, 851 nt
Organism: Bubalus bubalis (water buffalo)
Lineage: Eukaryota; Metazoa; Chordata; Mammalia; Artiodactyla; Bovidae
Exons: 3
Source: RefSeq, a predicted model, not a curated record
GUGUCACUCAUGCCAAUAGAAUGAGAUGGAGUUCGACUCAGAAGCAUAGGAAAGCUUUAUUCUUCAAACAAUGAAGGGCGUGAGCUCUUGCUCUAGAGCACUAGCUCUCCUGAAAAGUCCUUGGCAACAGGCCAAAAGCAGGGCUGUUUUACAGAGUUCUUGUCAGCGGGGAGGGGGCAGAGUUCUUCCUGGUUGGGUGUAUCUGUGCUGCUCACAGGUGCUCCAGCUUGAAGUGGCAGGGCCAGCAUCUCUGCACACAGCCCUCCACCGCAAUCUUCUGCGCACGGCCCACCAAGCUGAGGUGCCAGGUGCAGCAUCUCUGCACACGCCACACCACAGCUGCCAUCUUGAACUGCAGAGUUGUCCGCAGUGUCCCUGCACAGGCUGCAAAGCUGAGGUGUCGGCAUAGCCACGCCGCACUAGGAACUCUUGUCUGAAGUUCCCAGUGCUGUACCUCCAUCCUCGGUACCCUAGGAGCAAGACAAACCAGACUAAACACAAAGGACCAAAAAAGGUCAAGUGUGCUGGCCCAUCUGCAGCUCCCUUGAUGUGUGCUGAGCACUGCAGUGUUUUAACACAUGUGUUCACUAGCUCCUUAUACCCAUCCUGGUUCAUGGAGGUGUGUGAACAUCAGGACCGAGGCCAUCUGACAAUCACAAGGGGACCUGAGAUCAGCUCAGCAACCAGUGACCCCAGGAACUUCUCCCUUCAGGUAACUGGUCUGGUGUCUGGUUUGGAUCUGGUCAGAUGAACCGUGUCUCCUGCCUAGCUGACAACCCACAGGAGGUAAGCCUAUAAAAUGGCACAGGCCAUGGUUGUUCAUGUGAGGAGGACUACCUGGCAAAGAUGGG